GACGAACGCUGGCGGCGUGCCUAACACAUGCAAGUCGAACGGAAAGGCCCUGCUUUUGUGGGGUGCUCGAGUGGCGAACGGGUGAGGAACACGUGUGUAACCUGCCCUUGACUUUCGGAUAACUUAAGGAAACUGGGGCUAAUACCGGAUAGGAGCUCCUGCUGCAUGGUGGGCGGUGGAAAGUUUCGGCGGUUGGGGAUGGACUCGCGGCUUAUCAGCUUGUUGGUGGGGUAGUGGCUUACCAAGGCUUUGACGGAUAGCCGGCCUGAGAGGGUGACCGGCCACAUGGGGACCGAGAUACGGCCCAGACGCCUACGGGAGGCAGCAGGGGGGAAUAUUGCACAAUGGGCGGAAGCCUGAUGCAGCAACGUCGCGUGCGGAAUGACGGCCUUCGGGUUGUAAACCGCUUUCGCCUGUGACGAAGCGUGAGUGACGGUAAUGGGUAAAGAAGCACCGGCUAACUACGUG
This 468-nucleotide ribosomal RNA is filed under the name uncultured bacterium. Its description in RNAcentral is "partial 16S ribosomal RNA". It matches the Rfam family "Bacterial small subunit ribosomal RNA", at positions 28 to 507 of the family's 1533-position model. The record is from RNAcentral.